This 397-nucleotide ribosomal RNA is filed under the name uncultured bacterium. Its description in RNAcentral is "partial 16S ribosomal RNA". It matches the Rfam family "Bacterial small subunit ribosomal RNA", at positions 360 to 775 of the family's 1533-position model. The record is from RNAcentral.
AACAUUGCAUAAUGGGGGAAACCCUGAUGCAGCGACGUCGCGUGAGCGAAGAAGGCCUUCGGGUCGGAAAGCUCUGUCCUGAGGGAAGAAACGGACGGUACCGUAGGAGGAAGCCCCGCCUAACUACGGGCCAGCAGCCGCGGUAAUACGUAGGGGGCGAGCGUUCGCCGGAAUUAUGGGGCGUAAAGGGUGCGUAGGCGGCCUUUUAAGUCAGAUGUGAAAGGCUACGGCUUAACCGUAGUUAGCAUUUGAAACUAAAAGGCUUGAGUGCAGGAGAGGAGAGUGGAAUUCCUAGUGUAGCGGUGAAAUGCGUAGAUAUUAGGAGGAACACCAGUGGCGAAGGCGACUCUCUGGACUGCAACUGACGCUGAGGCACGAAAGCGUGGGGAGCGAACAG